AUUGAACGCUGGCGGCAGGCCUAACACAUGCAAGUCGAGCGGAUGAGUGGAGCUUGCUCCAUGAUUCAGCGGCGGACGGGUGAGUAAUGCCUAGGAAUCUGCCUGGUAGUGGGGGACAACGUUUCGAAAGGAACGCUAAUACCGCAUACGUCCUACGGGAGAAAGUGGGGGAUCUUCGGACCUCACGCUAUCAGAUGAGCCUAGGUCGGAUUAGCUAGUUGGUGAGGUAAAGGCUCACCAAGGCGACGAUCCGUAACUGGUCUGAGAGGAUGAUCAGUCACACUGGAACUGAGACACGGUCCAGACUCCUACGGGAGGCAGCAGUGGGGAAUAUUGGACAAUGGGCGAAAGCCUGAUCCAGCCAUGCCGCGUGGAGGAUGACUGCCCUCUGGGUUGUAAACUCCUUUUGUACGGGAGAAACCUCUCCAUUUAUGGGUGAGCUGACGGUACCGUAAGAAUAAGCACCGGCUAACUCCG
This 477-nucleotide ribosomal RNA is filed under the name uncultured bacterium. RNAcentral describes it as "bacterial SSU rRNA". It matches the Rfam family "Bacterial small subunit ribosomal RNA", at positions 30 to 505 of the family's 1533-position model. The record is from RNAcentral.